AAAAGACUUAGUCCUAACCUUACUGUUAAUUUCUGCUAAAUGUAUACAUGCAAGUAUCUGCGCCCCAGUGUAAAUGCCCUAGAGCCCUUAUUAACUCAGACAAAAGGAGCAGGCAUCAGGCUCGCCCACUGCUGCAGCCCAAGACGCCUUGCUUAGCCACACCCCCACGGGUACUCAGCAGUAACUAAUAUUAAGCAAUGAGUGAAAACUUGACUUAGUUAUAGCAGCACUCAGGGUUGGUAAAUCUUGUGCCAGCCACCGCGGUCACACAAGAGACCCAAAUUAACUGUACUACGGCGUAAAGAGUGGUACCAUGCUAUCCUAACAACUAAGAUCAAAGUGCAGCUAAGCCGUCAUAAGCCCAAGAUGCAUCUAAAAACACCCUCAAAACGAUCUUAGCACUUCCGACUGAUUAAAUCCCACGAAAGCUAGGGUACAAACUGGGAUUAGAUACCCCACUAUGCCUAGCCCUAAAUCUUGAUACUCUCUACCACUAAAGUAUCCGCCCGAGAACUACGAGCACAAACGCUUAAAACUCUAAGGACUUGGCGGUGCCCCAGAUCCACCUAGAGGAGCCUGUUCUGUAAUCGAUAACCCACGAUACACCCAACCUCCCCUUGCCUAAAACAGCUUAUAUACCGCCGUCGCCAGCCCACCUCCCCUGAGAGCCCAACAGUGGACAUAAUAGCCCCACCCCGCUAGCAAGACAGGUCAAGGUAUAGCCUAUGGGGUGGAAGAAAUGGGCUACAUUUUCUAAGAUAGACAACUUUCACGGAAAGGGACAUGAAAUCGUCCCCAGAAGGCGGAUUUAGCAGUAAAGAGGGAUAAUAGAGCCCUCUUUAAACCGGCCCUGAGGCACGUACAUACCGCCCGUCACCCUCCUCACAAGCUAUACGCACACAUAACUAAUUCCAACCCAUCAGCUGAAGACGAGGUAAGUCGUAACAAGGUAAGUGUACCGGAAGGUGCACUUAGCAUAUC
This 981-nucleotide non-coding RNA is filed under the name Megadyptes antipodes (Yellow-eyed penguin). RNAcentral's name for it is "12S ribosomal RNA". It matches the Rfam family "Bacterial small subunit ribosomal RNA". The record is from RNAcentral. Lineage: Eukaryota; Metazoa; Chordata; Aves; Sphenisciformes; Spheniscidae.